GGCCCAUACCAAAUAAAUCUCGAACCAUCGAGUCAUUAAGAAAGAAAGUUGAUCCGACGAAAUCUCCCAAAAUCUCAAAUGAUUCCUUUCGAUCCCGAGCAUAUAAGCUAAAAUCAUGUAUCUAAUGCCCAUAGAUGGUGCCUCUAACCAAUAAACAUGCAAUUUCUAGGUUAGUGGGUACAGAUUCUCUAUUUUUAUUAUCUAAUUUGAAGGUAACGC
RNAcentral lists this long non-coding RNA (219 nucleotides) under Elaeis guineensis (African oil palm). RNAcentral's name for it is "long non-coding RNA (EGUI_LNC077228)". The record is from RNAcentral. Lineage: Eukaryota; Viridiplantae; Streptophyta; Magnoliopsida; Arecales; Arecaceae.